This 254-nucleotide ribosomal RNA is filed under the name uncultured bacterium. RNAcentral's name for it is "partial 16S ribosomal RNA". It matches the Rfam family "Bacterial small subunit ribosomal RNA", at positions 524 to 776 of the family's 1533-position model. The record is from RNAcentral.
UACGUAGGGCGCAAGCGUUGUCCGGAAUUAUUGGGCGUAAAGAGCUCGUAGGCGGUUUGUCGCGUCUGCCCGUGAAAGUCCGGGGCUCAACUCCGGAUCUGCGGUGGGUACGGGCAGACUAGAGUGAUGUAGGGGAGACUGGAAUUCCUGGUGUAGCGGUGAAAUGCGCAGAUAUCAGGAGGAACACCGGUGGCGAAGGCGGUUCUCUGGGCCUUACCUGACGCUGAAGAGCGAAAGCGUGGGGAGCGAACAGG